Long non-coding RNA from Micropterus salmoides (largemouth bass), 511 nucleotides. RefSeq lists it as uncharacterized. The transcript has 2 exons. The record is from RefSeq and is a predicted model, not a curated record. NCBI's taxonomy places the organism in Eukaryota, Metazoa, Chordata, Actinopteri, Centrarchiformes, Centrarchidae.
UCGUAGUUAGGAGAGUCCAGCAUUUUCAGGGAAAGCAUAAUCUCUUGUUGAACUCUUUAGUGACCGGUUAACCUCAUAGGUGUGGAGCAAAGUGUCUUGACACUGAAGCAAUUCAAAUUCUUCAUGGAUGUUAGAAUAAUGCUGGAUGAUAUGGGCGACAUGAUCACAUUUUUGGUCCCAGUCAAGACAGGGGUUGCUGCAUUUUAAAUUAGCUAAAACCGUUAAAUGGCUCAAGGUUGGCCUGACCUCCUCUCAGCCUACUUUUUUAAGAAAAAUUGGCAGUGGAAAAAAGUGGCAGAAGAACCAACAGGUGCAAGCGAGAGAACGGUUGGAAUGUCCUUCCGGUCUUAUUGGACUGCCUUAUUACAAUGAUACCACAAUAUAAUACAAUGAAAAAGUUGGAAGGUUUGAUGAAGUUCAGAUGAGUUAUGAGGUGUUGUCUUAUUUGCAAUAUAUCGCUUGGAUAUAAAAGUUUGUCUUUGUUAUUACAAUAAACAAGGAAACAAGUGCA